UACAGAGGGUGCAAGCGUUAAUCGGAAUUACUGGGCGUAAAGCGCACGUAGGCGGUUUUUUAAGUCAGAUGUGAAAGCCCCGGGCUCAACCUGGGAAUUGCAUUUGAAGCUGGGGAACUAGAGUGUGUGAGAGGGGGGUAGAAUUCCAAGUGUAGCGGUGAAAUGCGUAGAGAUUUGGAGGAAUACCAGUGGCGAAGGCGGCCCCCUGGCACAACACUGACGCUCAGGUGCGAAAGCGUGGGGAGCAAACAGG
RNAcentral lists this ribosomal RNA (253 nucleotides) under uncultured bacterium. Its description in RNAcentral is "partial 16S ribosomal RNA". It matches the Rfam family "Bacterial small subunit ribosomal RNA", at positions 524 to 776 of the family's 1533-position model. The record is from RNAcentral.